CAGAAAAUAGUUUAUUAAUAUAAAAAUAUUGAUUUUGGGGAUCAAAGAUAAAUAUUUAGUUUUUUUCUGA
Molecule: transfer RNA, 70 nt
Filed under: Gastroptychus rogeri
Lineage: Eukaryota; Metazoa; Arthropoda; Malacostraca; Decapoda; Chirostylidae
Description: tRNA-Pro
Source: RNAcentral